This 271-nucleotide ribosomal RNA is filed under the name uncultured prokaryote. RNAcentral's name for it is "partial 16S ribosomal RNA". It matches the Rfam family "Bacterial small subunit ribosomal RNA", at positions 524 to 794 of the family's 1533-position model. The record is from RNAcentral.
CACGUAGGAGGCAAACGUUAUCCGGAUUUACUGGGCGUAAAGCGCGUGUAGGUGGUUCUGUAAGUAGGGCGUGAAAGCUCCUGGCUCAACUGGGAGAGGCCGUUCUAAACUGCAGAGCUAGAGGAUGGUAGAGGGAGGUGGAAUUCUAGGUGUAGCGGUGGAAUGCGCAGAUAUCUGGAGGAACACCAGUGGCGAAGGCGGCCUCCUUGACCAUUCCUGACACUCAGACGCGAAAGCUAGGGUAGCAAACGGGAUUAGAUACCCUGGUAGU